RNAcentral lists this ribosomal RNA (468 nucleotides) under uncultured bacterium. Its description in RNAcentral is "partial 16S ribosomal RNA". It matches the Rfam family "Bacterial small subunit ribosomal RNA", at positions 28 to 507 of the family's 1533-position model. The record is from RNAcentral.
GACGAACGCUGGCGGCGUGCUUAACACAUGCAAGUCGAACGGAAAGGCCCUGCUUUUGUGGGGUGCUCGAGUGGCGAACGGGUGAGUAACACGUGAGUAACCUGCCCUUGACUUUGGGAUAACUUCAGGAAACUGGGGCUAAUACCGGAUAGGAGCUCCUGCUGCAUGGUGGGGGUUGGAAAGUUUCGGCGGUUGGGGAUGGUCUCGCGGCUUAUCAGCUUGUUGGUGGGGUAGUGGCUUACCAAGGCUUUGACGGGUAGCCGGCCUGAGAGGGUGACCGGCCACAUUGGGACUGAGGUACGGCCCAGACUCCUACGGGAGGCAGCAGUGGGGAAUAUUGCACAAUGGGCGGAAGCCUGAUGCAGCAACGCCGCGUGCGGGAUGACGGCCUUCGGGUUGUAAACCGCUUUCGCCUGUGACGAAGCGUGAGUGACGGUAAUGGGUAAGGAAGCACCGGCUAACUACGUG